RNAcentral lists this ribosomal RNA (492 nucleotides) under uncultured bacterium. RNAcentral's name for it is "partial 16S ribosomal RNA". It matches the Rfam family "Bacterial small subunit ribosomal RNA", at positions 29 to 507 of the family's 1533-position model. The record is from RNAcentral.
AUUGAACGCUGGCGGCAUGCUUUACACAUGCAAGUCGAACGGUAACAGGCCUUGGGGUGCUGACGAGUGGCGAACGGGGGAGUAAUGCAUCGGAACGUGCCCAGGGGUGGGGGAUACCGCAGCGAAAGCGGUGCUAAUACCGCAUGUGAUCUGAGGAUGAAAGCGGGGGACCAGGCAGCAAUGUUUGGCCUCGCGCCUUUGUAGCGGCCGAUGUCAGAUUAGGUAGUUGGUGGGGUAAAGGCCUACCAAGCCGACGAUCUGUAGCUGGUCUGAGAGGACGACCAGCCACACUGGGACUGAGACACGGCCCAGACUCCUACGGGAGGCAGCAGUGGGGAAUUUUGGACAAUGGGCGCAAGCCUGAUCCAGCAAUGCCGCGUGCGGGAAGAAGGCCUUCGGGUUGUAAACCGCUUUUGUACGGAACGAAAAGGCUCUGGCUAAUACCUGGGGCUGAUGACGGUACCGUAAGAAUAAGCACCGGCUAACUACGUG